This 305-nucleotide ribosomal RNA is filed under the name uncultured bacterium. Its description in RNAcentral is "bacterial SSU rRNA". It matches the Rfam family "Bacterial small subunit ribosomal RNA", at positions 336 to 658 of the family's 1533-position model. The record is from RNAcentral.
UUCCUACGGGGCGCAGCAGUGGGGAAUAUUGCACAAUGGGGGAAACCCUGAUGCAGCAACGCCGCGUGAGUGAUGACGGCCUUCGGGUUGUAAAGCUCUGUCUUCAGGGACGAUAAUGACGGUACCUGAGGAGGAAGCCACGGCUAACUACGUGCCAGCAGCCGCGGUAAUACAUAGGGGGCAAGCGUUAUCCGGAAUUAUUGGGUGUAAAGGGUGCGUAGACGGAAGAACAAGUUGGUUGUGAAAUCCCUCGGCUCAACUGAGGAACUGCAACCAAAACAAUUCUCCUUGAGUGUCGGAGAGGG